Molecule: non-coding RNA, 75 nt
Organism: Potamilus streckersoni
Lineage: Eukaryota; Metazoa; Mollusca; Bivalvia; Unionida; Unionidae
Source: the annotation of a GenBank genome assembly
UGUUUUUCUGACCUAGUGGUUAGAGCGUCCGUCUCAGAUGCGGAAGAUCGUGGGUUCGAUCCCCGGUCGAGUCAU